RNAcentral lists this ribosomal RNA (253 nucleotides) under uncultured bacterium. Its description in RNAcentral is "partial 16S ribosomal RNA". It matches the Rfam family "Bacterial small subunit ribosomal RNA", at positions 524 to 776 of the family's 1533-position model. The record is from RNAcentral.
GACGUAGGGCGCGAGCGUUGUCCGGAUUUAUUGGGCGUAAAGAGCUCGUAGGCGGCUUGUCGCGUCGACUGUGAAAACCCGCGGCUCAACUGCGGGCCUGCAGCCGAUACGGGCAGGCUAGAGUUCGGUAGGGGAGACUGGAAUUCCAGGUGUAGCGGUGAAAUGCGUAGAUAUCUGGAGGAACACCGGUGGCGAAGGCGGCAUUCUGGACCGAUAUUGACGCUGAGGAGCGAAAGCCAGGGGAGCAAACGGG